This 584-nucleotide ribosomal RNA is filed under the name Papiliotrema rajasthanensis. Its description in RNAcentral is "partial large subunit ribosomal RNA". It matches the Rfam family "Eukaryotic large subunit ribosomal RNA", at positions 81 to 655 of the family's 3401-position model. The record is from RNAcentral. Lineage: Eukaryota; Fungi; Basidiomycota; Tremellomycetes; Tremellales; Rhynchogastremaceae.
UAGUACGGCGAGUGAACCGGGAAGAGCUCAAAUUUGAAAUCUGGCGUCCUCAGGGCGUCCGAGUUGUAAUCUAUAGAGGCGUUUUCCGUGCCGGACCGUGUCCAAGUUCCUUGGAACAGGAUAUCAAAGAGGGUGACAAUCCCGUACUUGACACGAUGACCGGUGCUCUGUGAUACGUCUUCUACGAGUCGAGUUGUUUGGGAAUGCAGCUCAAAAUGGGUGGUGAGUUCCAUCUAAAGCUAAAUAUUGGCGAGAGACCGAUAGCGAACAAGUACCGUGAGGGAAAGAUGAAAAGCACUUUGGAAAGAGAGUUAAACAGUACGUGAAAUUGUUGAAAGGGAAACGAUUGAAGUCAGUCGUGACUGAGAGGCUCAGCCGGUUCUGCCGGUGUAUUCCCCUCAGUCGGGUCAACAUCAGUUUUGUCCGGUGGAAAAGGGUGGUAGGAACGUGGCACCUCCGGGUGUGUUAUAGCCUGCCGUCGCAUACAUCGGGUGAGACUGAGGAAUGCAGCUCGCCUUUAUGGCCGGGGUUCGCCCACGUCCGAGCUUAGGAUGUUGACAUAAUGGCUUUAAACGACCCGUCUU